This 1160-nucleotide long non-coding RNA is filed under the name Homo sapiens (human). RNAcentral describes it as "HSALNT0352976". The record is from RNAcentral. Lineage: Eukaryota; Metazoa; Chordata; Mammalia; Primates; Hominidae.
UUUUUAAAUUAACUGAACAUUUACACAAAAGAGACAGGGGUUUAAAACUAAACAGAUAGUGGAAACAGUUUAACUUUCAACAACAGUGUACAUGUUGAGAGCAAAUAUAGACUAGUAGAGAAAAUUGCCUUUUUGCACAUCUGGGUUGAUAUUAUAAGAUUUAAGCAACUAUAAUAUAAAAUUCUAUACACAUAGGCAGUGAGAAAAAACUUUUAUGGUCUGAAACAAUUUUCAUGCUAUAUGUCAUAAUAGAAGGUCUUCUAGAAUCCAUGUAUGCCCAACAAAAGCCACUGAAGGGAAGCUUACCAGAGUGCCAUCGAGUUCCUUCCCCUAAGGAUCAGACUUCCAGACUCAAGUGUCAUUUGACCUGGUAUCCAGCUUAAUACAGCCUCUGCUUUUGAAUAGAUUUCCUUACAAGUGGCAAUCUCUAAUAGGGUCAUGUCGAGAGGCAACCCGACUGCAUACUACCUACUGCACGUUAACGUGAUGAAGGUCUCUCCUGAGCACACGGCUUCAUAAACCAGCUGCACAAGCAACUGCAUCUGGGGAUCUGCUUCAAGAGAAACUUAACUAAAGCAAGAAUGGGCUCUAACUUCAGGAUACCUAGGAUUCUAACCUCGUUCCAUUACUUACCAACGAUAUGACCUGGGAAAAAUUAUAUACCUGCUGUGUCUCCAAAGUCUUCAGGCAGAGGCAACAACCACCAGGCAAACUUGAAGAGUUCUUGAACUACUUUUGAGGUUCCUCCUCAAUUUCACAGAUAUACCCUCCUCAGACUCCAGCCCCCAGUAUCUAAUGCCUGGAGCCUGAGUAGCAGGAUGGGAUUAAGUGACUUCUUGACUUGUGAACAAGAUAAAUGGAAGGUUCUGUUCAGAGGCUCUCAACUAUUUUGUACUUGCAAAAUAUUAAACAUGUUGUUAGCAUAUGUGAAAUGAUUCAUUUGCACAUGGUUCACCUUCAGGUUGGGCCUCUCAUUUCCUGAAUUGGCUGUCAGCCACCCAGGACAGAGUUUAACAAGAGAAGCCAACCCUCAGGGUGAGGAGGAGCAGGGACUUUGGUGAGAAUGCUGGGUUCAAAUCUGGGCUUCUGUAGUUAUCUGCUAUAUGAUCUCACAGAAGUAACCUAAUCUCUCUGUUCUUCAAUUUCCACAUCAGCAAAAC